CGCGGGAUUGGGCACGGGGGGACGGGGCGCAGCAGGCGCGAAAACUUUACAAUGCGGGAAACCGUGAUAAGGGAACCCCGAGUGCCCGUAUACGCGGGCUGUCCGGGUGUGUAAAAAGCACCCGAAGAAAGGGCCGGGCAAGACCGGUGCCAGCCGCCGCGGUAAUACCGGCGGCUCGAGUGGUGACCACUUUUAUUGGGCUUAAAGCGUCCGUAGCUGGAUUGCUAAGUCUCUUGGGAAAUCUCACGGCUUAACCGUGAGGCGUCUAAGAGAUACUGGCAAUCUUGGGACCGGAAGAGGUGAGAGGUACUCCGGGGGUAGGAGUGAAAUCCUGUAAUCCUCGGGGGACCACCUGUGGCGAAGGCGUCUCACCAGGACGGCUCCGACAGUGAGGGACGAAAGCUGGGGGAGCAAACCGGAUUAGAUACCCGGGUAGUCCCAGCCGUAAACGAUGCGCGUUAGGUGUAUCGGCGACCACGAGUCGCUGAGGUGCCGAAGGGAAACCGUGAAACGUGCCGCCUGGGAAGUACGGUCGCAAGGCUGAAACUAAAAGAAUUGGCGGGGGAGCACCACAACGGGUGGAGCCUGCGUUUAAUUGGACUCAACGCCGGGAAGCUCACCGGGUAGGACAGCGGUAUGAUAGCCCGGGCUGAAGACUCUGCUUGACCAGCUGAGAGGAGGUGCAUGGCCGUCGUCAGUUCGUACUGUGAAGCAUCCUGUUAAGUCAGGCAACGAGCGAGACCCGUGCCCACUGUUACCAGCAUGUCCUCCGGGACGAUGGGUACACUGUGGGGACCGCUGAUGUCAAAUCAGAGGAAGGUGCGGGCUACGGUAGGUCAGUAUGCCCCGAAUCUCCCGGGCUACACGCGGGCUACAAUGGUCGGGACAAUGGGUCCCUUCCCCGAAAGGGGUUGGUAAUCUCACAAACCCGUCCUUAGUUCGGAUCGAGGGCUGUAACUCGCCCUCGUGAAGCUGGAAUCCGUAGUAAUCGCGUUUCAAUAUAGCGCGGUGAAUACGUCCCUGCUCCUUGCCCGAAUUCGCCGAAUCACUAGU
RNAcentral lists this ribosomal RNA (1053 nucleotides) under uncultured Methanomicrobiales archaeon. RNAcentral's name for it is "bacterial SSU rRNA". It matches the Rfam family "Archaeal small subunit ribosomal RNA", at positions 309 to 1362 of the family's 1478-position model. Lineage: Archaea; Methanobacteriati; Methanobacteriota; Methanomicrobia; Methanomicrobiales. The record is from RNAcentral.